AAGGAUCAUUAUUGAAAAUAAACCUGAUGGGUUGUUGCUGGCUCUCUAGGGAGCAUGUGCACACCUUGUCAUCUUUAUAUCUCCACCUGUGCAUCUUUUGUAGACCCAGGAUAUCCUUUCCGGGUGUCUAUGUUGAUUCUUCAUUUACCCCAAUGUAUGUCAAUAGAAUGUUGUGAUAAUAAAAUCUAUACAACUUUCAGCAACGGAUCUCUUGGCUCUC
This 220-nucleotide unclassified non-coding RNA is filed under the name uncultured fungus. RNAcentral's name for it is "partial contains 18S rRNA, ITS1, 5.8S rRNA, ITS2 and 28S rRNA". Lineage: Eukaryota; Fungi. The record is from RNAcentral.